AAGGCUUUAGCUUAAUUAAAGUGUUUGUUUUGCAUGCAGAAUAUGUAGGGUAAAGUCCUGCAAGUCUUA
Molecule: transfer RNA, 69 nt
Filed under: Gadopsis bispinosus
Lineage: Eukaryota; Metazoa; Chordata; Actinopteri; Centrarchiformes; Percichthyidae
Description: tRNA-Ala
Rfam family: tRNA
About the family: Transfer RNA (tRNA) molecules are approximately 80 nucleotides in length. Their secondary structure includes four short double-helical elements and three loops (D, anti-codon, and T loops). Further hydrogen bonds mediate the characteristic L-shaped molecular structure. tRNAs have two regions of fundamental functional importance: the anti-codon, which is responsible for specific mRNA codon recognition, and the 3' end, to which the tRNAs corresponding amino acid is attached (by aminoacyl-tRNA synthetases). tRNAs cope with the degeneracy of the genetic code in two manners: having more than one tRNA (with a specific anti-codon) for a particular amino acid; and 'wobble' base-pairing, i.e. permitting non-standard base-pairing at the 3rd anti-codon position.
Source: RNAcentral